GCUGGGGAAUAACCUCGGGAAACUGAGAAUAAUGCCCCAUAGUUCACUACGCCUGGAACGGUGAGUGGAUGAAAGCUCCGGCGGCAUAGGAUGGGCCUGCGGCGUAUCAGGUCGUAGGGGGUGUAACGUACCCUCUAGCCAUCGACGCGUACGGGUGUUGGGAGACAUAGCCCGGAGAUGGAUUCUGAGACACGAAUCCAGACCCUACGGGGUGCAGCAGGCGCGAAAACUUGGCAAUGCGAGAAAUCGUGACCAGGGAACUCCAAGUGGCUGGGGUAAGACCCAGUCUUUUCUUGACUCUUCAAAGGUCUUGGAAUAAGAGGUGGGUAAGGACGGUGCCAGCCGCCGCGGUAAUACCGGCGCCUCAAGUGGUAGUCGAUUUUAUUGGGCCUAAAACGUCCGUAGCCUGUUUGGUACAUUCGUGGGUAAAUCAACCAGCUCAACUGAUUGAAUUCUGCGAGCACGGCCAGACUUGGGACCGGGAGAGGUGUGGGGUACGCUCAGGGUAGGGGUAAAAUCCUGUCAUCCUGAGCGGACCACCUGUUGCGAAGGCGCCACACUAGAACGGAUCCGACGGUCAGGGACGAAGCCUAGGGGCACGAACCGGAUUAGAUACCCGGGUAGUCCUAGGUGUAAACGCUGUGGACUUGGUGUUGGGGACUCUCCGAGAUUCCUCAGUGCCGAAGCGAAGGUGAUAAGUCCACUGCCUGGGGAGUACGGUCGCAAGGCUGAAACUUAAA
This 740-nucleotide ribosomal RNA is filed under the name uncultured archaeon. RNAcentral's name for it is "bacterial SSU rRNA". It matches the Rfam family "Archaeal small subunit ribosomal RNA", at positions 118 to 860 of the family's 1478-position model. The record is from RNAcentral.